Molecule: long non-coding RNA, 656 nt
Organism: Bradysia coprophila
Lineage: Eukaryota; Metazoa; Arthropoda; Insecta; Diptera; Sciaridae
Source: RefSeq, a predicted model, not a curated record
UUAGUAAGCUCCUACAUCGUAACGUAAAGUUCGUUGUCAACAAUCAUUUAUUUUCGAACAAAAUAUUUCUGUGCACUAAAUUCCAUAACGAUUGUCGGUCUGGAAAUGAAAGGACACACGUCUGUCACCCUGACCCAAUUAGCAAAAUAUAUUUUGGAUGAAUAUCCGUGCCACAGAAGCCACGACAACGGAAACUAUCAGGACGUUAUUCACCAUACAUUGGUAGCAGCCGUUCAGCACGGAUUCCUUGUCAGAAGCGAUAAUUUGUAUUCGCGUGACGAAUUUGAAAUAGAAGAUUUUCCAGAUAAUUUAUUCUCCACCGUAAAUAUUUCGAAUGAACGUAAGCGCUUGCAAAUGAGAUGUCUGAUGAAACGCCUAAAACUAAAAGAUGGUCAAACGUCGGAAGAGCUUUGCGCUGUCGACGAGUCCGUUUCGAUAAUAGAGAAGAUAUUGGAGAAAGGUGUUCAUCUAGGGUUCAUAAGUUCAAAUAAUAAAGUCGGUCAUGGGAAACAGUACUUUCGGAAUGUACCAAAACCGAGUAGAGGUAUAAUCUGCGCCCCGAAUUAUUCGUUCUGUUCGACAUUGUCUAAGACAGCUAGCGUUUAAGAUCAAUUUAUUCGGUUACGAUUUGACAAAUAAAUUCUUGAACAUUUUAA